GGAGUUGUGCCUGAAUUUAAGGACCACUUUGAUAGAGUGUGAUAUGGGGGUUAAAAUCCCCCCAACUCCC
This 70-nucleotide transfer RNA is filed under the name Synchiropus altivelis. RNAcentral's name for it is "Foetorepus altivelis tRNA-Ile". It matches the Rfam family "tRNA". Rfam says of the family: Transfer RNA (tRNA) molecules are approximately 80 nucleotides in length. Their secondary structure includes four short double-helical elements and three loops (D, anti-codon, and T loops). Further hydrogen bonds mediate the characteristic L-shaped molecular structure. tRNAs have two regions of fundamental functional importance: the anti-codon, which is responsible for specific mRNA codon recognition, and the 3' end, to which the tRNAs corresponding amino acid is attached (by aminoacyl-tRNA synthetases). tRNAs cope with the degeneracy of the genetic code in two manners: having more than one tRNA (with a specific anti-codon) for a particular amino acid; and 'wobble' base-pairing, i.e. permitting non-standard base-pairing at the 3rd anti-codon position. The record is from RNAcentral. Lineage: Eukaryota; Metazoa; Chordata; Actinopteri; Syngnathiformes; Callionymidae.